This 225-nucleotide unclassified non-coding RNA is filed under the name Borreliella burgdorferi (Lyme disease spirochete). Its description in RNAcentral is "5S-23S ribosomal RNA intergenic spacer region". Lineage: Bacteria; Pseudomonadati; Spirochaetota; Spirochaetia; Spirochaetales; Borreliaceae. The record is from RNAcentral.
UUUGGUCCCCGGUCGCGUAUUUACAAACCUUAAAUUUAUUCUUUUAUGUUUUUUAAAUAUUCAUGUUUUUGAAUAUUUAAUUCAAAUAAUGUAAAAAAUAAAAUAGAUAUUGACAUGGAUUGAACAAAGAUAUAUAUUAUUUUAUGUUGUAUAAACAAAUUGGCAAAAUAGAGAUGGAAGAUAAAAAUAUGGUCAAAGUAAUAAGAGUCUAUGGUGAAUGCCUAG